AAUCCUAAUGAAUCUCAAUCAAUCCUAAGUCAAAUCCUAAUUAAAAUCCUAAUUGAAUCUUAAUCAAAUCCUAGAUUAAAUCCUGGGUCAAGUCUUAAUUGAAACCCUAAUUAAACUUCAAGAAAAUCUUAGGUUAAAUCCUAAUGAAGCCCUAAUGAAUUCUAAAUCCUAAACAAAUUCUAAAGAAGUCCUAAUCAAAAUCAAAAUCUUAAACAAAUUCUUAACAAAUCCUAUAGCAGAUUGAAACCUCAACAAUUAAUGAUCAAACUAUUGAUAUUAAUUCAAAAUUUGCACACUUCUUAAUAUCUUAGUUAGAAAUAGGCACAAGAAAGAUGAAAUUGAUCGCACUUAUCAAUUGAGAGAAAUGUAAGAUAAUCCAAUUGGGUAUUGGAUGGCCUCCUAUUCCAAAUUAAAUUCUAAACUUCCAGUACCAAUAUCUCCUUCUUGAAUCAUUGAAUUGCUCUCAAAUUUCACCCAAAUAUUGGAAAUU
This 490-nucleotide long non-coding RNA is filed under the name Physcomitrium patens. RNAcentral's name for it is "long non-coding RNA (PPAT_LNC007659)". The record is from RNAcentral. Lineage: Eukaryota; Viridiplantae; Streptophyta; Bryopsida; Funariales; Funariaceae.